AUACCUUUUCUUUAUUUGCGAUUUUCGUUAUAUUGUUUGCAUUGAAUAAGAGUUUUCGGUCGUGUGUGUCAACAUUAUUUCGUAUGAUAAUUCAUCAAAACCUUUUUCUAACGAAAGAUAUCUAAUAUCCAAAAAUAUCGUUUCUUCGAAAUUGCUCAGACUUAUGGUUUCGGAUAAAAGAUCAUCUAGUAUAUGUAUUUUUCUGUGGCGUUUAUCACCACUUUACAUUCAGUGCGUAAUAACCGAAGAGGCAGUCGGCUGGAUUGGUCGCAUGGAAAUGCUUCAGAUUUUUACUCUGGAAGACCGGAGUUCGAUUCUCUGGUCCCAUCCCUAAAAAAUUACUUAUCGUGGUCUAUCCUCGUCUUCCACCAUCAGGCUGAACCUUCAAAAGGUAGGCAGCCUGUGGAAGGGUUUGUUUCGUCCCGCCAUUUUUCACUCAGAGUGCUAUCUUGACAAAAAACUGACGGUAUUUCUGUAUCCACCACGGAUAUAGAACGGAUCGGACUGAAUGAGCCGAACCUAGAUUCUCUGGAAAACCGUUUCGAGGUAUUAGAUUCACUUUGGAGGGUCUAGAUUCAAUUCCCGAAAGUACAGCACUCUUCCACUGCAGCCCGACUGUAAAGAGUAUAUUUCUAUAAUUAUGAUUUUCUUCAUUUGUAAGGUCACAAAAUAUUCUAGCGCAGGGCCUCCAAAAUUAUAAGUACGGUACUAAAAGGGUAAAGUAUUAGGUACUAAUAACCUAAUACUUGAAUGUAUUAUUAUUAUAUAGAUGACGGAAUAUUUGGCGGUGUGAUUUUUUUUUCUAUGAGUAGAAAACAUUUUUGUUAGACGAACGGAUUAUAAAUAAUAAUUGAUGGUUAAUUAAUCUUUUAAGAAAAAGAAGAAUAACUGGAGAGCCCAGCACGAGUCGUUCCUGG
This 917-nucleotide long non-coding RNA is filed under the name Androctonus crassicauda. Lineage: Eukaryota; Metazoa; Arthropoda; Arachnida; Scorpiones; Buthidae. The record is from RNAcentral.